RNAcentral lists this ribosomal RNA (465 nucleotides) under Vreelandella stevensii. RNAcentral's name for it is "partial 16S ribosomal RNA". It matches the Rfam family "Bacterial small subunit ribosomal RNA", at positions 338 to 795 of the family's 1533-position model. The record is from RNAcentral. Lineage: Bacteria; Pseudomonadati; Pseudomonadota; Gammaproteobacteria; Oceanospirillales; Halomonadaceae.
CCUACGGGUGGCAGCAGUGGGGAAUAUUGGACAAUGGGCGAAAGCCUGAUCCAGCCAUGCCGCGUGUGUGAAGAAGGCCUUCGGGUUGUAAAGCACUUUCAGUGGGGAAGAAAGCCUUGGGGCUAAUACCCUCGAGGAAGGACAUCACCCACAGAAGAAGCACCGGCUAACUCCGUGCCAGCAGCCGCGGUAAUACGGAGGGUGCGAGCGUUAAUCGGAAUUACUGGGCGUAAAGCGCGCGUAGGCGGUCUGAUAAGCCGGUUGUGAAAGCCCCGGGCUCAACCUAGGAACGGCAUCCGGAACUGUCAGGCUAGAGUGCAGGAGAGGAAGGUAGAAUUCCCGGUGUAGCGGUGAAAUGCGUAGAGAUCGGGAGGAAUACCAGUGGCGAAGGCGGCCUUCUGGACUGACACUGACGCUGAGGUGCGAAAGCGUGGGUAGCAAACAGGAUUAGAUACCCCAGUAGUC